UGCGGCCCUAGGACUUGUUCUUGGGCCACACCUGACUGAGGGUCGG
Molecule: ribosomal RNA, 46 nt
Filed under: Frankliniella occidentalis (western flower thrips)
Lineage: Eukaryota; Metazoa; Arthropoda; Insecta; Thysanoptera; Thripidae
Description: partial 5.8S ribosomal RNA
Source: RNAcentral